AUACGUAGGGGGCGAGCGUUGUCCGGAAUGAUUGGGCGUAAAGGGCGCGUAGGCGGCCCGGUAAGUCUGGAGUGAAAGUCCUGCUUUUAAGGUGGGAAUUGCUUUGGAUACUGUCGGGCUUGAGUGCAGGAGAGGUAAGUGGAAUUCCCAGUGUAGCGGUGAAAUGCGUAGAGAUUGGGAGGAACACCAGUGGCGAAGGCGACUUACUGGACUGUAACUGACGCUGAGGCGCGAAAGUGUGGGGAGCAAACAGGAUUAGAUACCCUGGUAGUCCACACUGUAAACGAUGAAUGCUAGGUGUAGGGGGUAUCGACCCCUUCUGUGCCGCAGUUAACACAAUAAGUAUUCCGCCUGGGGAGUACGGCCGCAAGGUUGAAACUCAAAUGAAUUGACGGGU
This 397-nucleotide ribosomal RNA is filed under the name uncultured bacterium. Its description in RNAcentral is "partial 16S ribosomal RNA". It matches the Rfam family "Bacterial small subunit ribosomal RNA", at positions 523 to 918 of the family's 1533-position model. The record is from RNAcentral.